RNAcentral lists this ribosomal RNA (496 nucleotides) under uncultured bacterium. Its description in RNAcentral is "partial 16S ribosomal RNA". It matches the Rfam family "Bacterial small subunit ribosomal RNA", at positions 28 to 506 of the family's 1533-position model. The record is from RNAcentral.
GAUGAACGCUGGCGGCGUGCCUAAUACAUGCAAGUCGAGCGAACGGACGAGAAGCUUGCUUCUCUGAUGUUAGCGGCGGACGGGUGAGUAACACGUGGAUAACCUACCUAUAAGACUGGGAUAACUUCGGGAAACCGGAGCUAAUACUGGAUAAUAUUUUGAACCGCAUGGUUCAAAAGUGAAAGACGGUCUUGCUGUCACUUAUAGAUGGAUCCGCGCUGCAUUAGCUAGUUGGUAAGGUAACGGCUUACCAAGGCAACGAUGCAUAGCCGACCUGAGAGGGUGAUCGGCCACCAGGGAACGGAGAACCGGGCCCACCCCCUAGGGGGGGCAGCAGUGGGAAAUCUUCCGAAAGGGGCGAAAGCCUGACGGGGCAACGCCGGGGGAGUGAUGAAGGUCUUCGGAUCGUAAAACUUUGUUAUUAGGGAAAAACAUAUGUGUAAGUAACUGGGCCCCUUUUGACGGUACCUAAUAAAAAAACCCCGGCUAACUACGU